This 533-nucleotide ribosomal RNA is filed under the name uncultured bacterium. Its description in RNAcentral is "bacterial SSU rRNA". It matches the Rfam family "Bacterial small subunit ribosomal RNA", at positions 777 to 1310 of the family's 1533-position model. The record is from RNAcentral.
AAUAGAUACCCUGGUAGUCCACGCCCUAAACGAUGUCGACUGGUUGUUGGGGGUUUGACACUCUCAGUAACGAAGCUAACGCGUGAAGUCGACCGCCUGGGGAGUACGGCCGCAAGGUUAAAACUCAAAGGAAUUGACGGGGACCCGCACAAGCGGUGGAUUAUGUGGAUUAAUUCGAUGCAACGCGAAAAACCUUACCUACCCUUGACAUGUCCGGAAGGCUGCUGAAAGGCGGCUGUGCCCGAAAGGGAACUGGAACACAGGUGCUGCAUGGCUGUCGUCAGCUCGUGUCGUGAGAUGUUGGGUUAAGUCCCGCAACGAGCGCAACCCUUGUCAUUAGUUGCUACAUUCAGUUGGGCACUCUAAUGAGACUGCCGGUGACAAACCGGAGGAAGGUGGGGAUGACGUCAAGUCCUCAUGGCCCUUAUGGGUAGGGCUUCACACGUAAUACAAUGGCGCGUACAGAGGGCUGCUAAGCCGCAAGGUAGAGCCAAUCCCUUAAAGCGCGUCGUAGUCCGGAUUGCAGUCUGCAA